UACGUAGGGACCAAGCGUUGUUCGGAUUUACUGGGCGUAAAGGGCGCGUAGGCGGCGUGGUAAGUCACUUGUGAAAUCUCUGAGCUUAACUCAGAACGGCCAAGUGAUACUGCUGUGCUAGAGUGCAGAAGGGGCAAUCGGAAUUCUUGGUGUAGCGGUGAAAUGCGUAGAUAUCGGGAGGAACACCAGUGGCGAAGGCGGCUUCCUGGCCUGUUCUUGACGCUGAGGCGCGAAAGCUAGGGGAGCAAACGGG
This 253-nucleotide ribosomal RNA is filed under the name uncultured bacterium. RNAcentral's name for it is "partial 16S ribosomal RNA". It matches the Rfam family "Bacterial small subunit ribosomal RNA", at positions 524 to 776 of the family's 1533-position model. The record is from RNAcentral.